Molecule: ribosomal RNA, 162 nt
Filed under: Epiblema grandiflorum
Lineage: Eukaryota; Viridiplantae; Streptophyta; Magnoliopsida; Asparagales; Orchidaceae
Description: 5.8S ribosomal RNA
Rfam family: 5.8S ribosomal RNA
About the family: 5.8S ribosomal RNA (5.8S rRNA) is a component of the large subunit of the eukaryotic ribosome. It is transcribed by RNA polymerase I as part of the 45S precursor that also contains 18S and 28S rRNA. Functionally, it is thought that 5.8S rRNA may be involved in ribosome translocation.
Source: RNAcentral
UAGGACUCUCGGCAAUGGAUAUCUUGGCUCUUGCAUCGAUGAAGAACGCAACGAAAUGCGAUACGUGGUGCGAAUUGCAGAAUCCCGUGAACCAUCGAGUUUUUGAACGCAAGUUGCGCCUGAGGCCAUCUGGCCAAGGGCACGUCCGCCUGGGCGUCAUGC